AAGGGUGUAGCUCAAUGGUAGAGCAUGAUUAGCAAGCACAAAGUUCUGGGUUUGAUCCCCAGUACCUCCA
RNAcentral lists this transfer RNA (70 nucleotides) under Camelus ferus (Wild Bactrian camel). It matches the Rfam family "tRNA". Rfam says of the family: Transfer RNA (tRNA) molecules are approximately 80 nucleotides in length. Their secondary structure includes four short double-helical elements and three loops (D, anti-codon, and T loops). The record is from Rfam by way of RNAcentral. Lineage: Eukaryota; Metazoa; Chordata; Mammalia; Artiodactyla; Camelidae.